CCCUUAGAUGUUCUGGGCCGCACGCGCGCUACACUGAUGCAUUCAACAAGCCUAGCCUUGACCGAGAGGUCCGGGUAAACUUUGAAACUGCAUCGUGAUGGGGCUAGAUUAUUGCAAUUAUUAAUCUUCAACGAGGAAUGCCUAGUAAGCGUGAUUCAUCAAAUCGCGUUGAUUACGUCCCUGCCCUUUGUACACACCGCCCGUCGCUCCUACCGAUUGAAUGUGUUGGUGAGGAGCUCGGAUUGGCAGCAGUUGGUGGUUCGCCACCGGCUAUUGCUGAGAAGUCCUCCAAACCGCNCNAUUUAGNGGAAGGAGAANUCGUANCA
Molecule: ribosomal RNA, 326 nt
Filed under: uncultured eukaryote
Lineage: Eukaryota
Description: partial 18S ribosomal RNA
Rfam family: Eukaryotic small subunit ribosomal RNA
Source: RNAcentral